This is a long non-coding RNA of Mobula hypostoma (lesser devil ray), 429 nucleotides long. RefSeq lists it as uncharacterized. The record is from RefSeq and is a predicted model, not a curated record. Lineage: Eukaryota; Metazoa; Chordata; Chondrichthyes; Myliobatiformes; Myliobatidae. The transcript has 3 exons.
CUCACUUUCUCGCCAUGUUCAUUCCUCUCUCCUGUGGCUGUUAUCUCUGCGACUUUCGUGGUGUUCUUGCCCCGCUAAUAUGAUGAACUGAGAUCAAGGCUUGGGCCUACUCCAACUGCUCAGAAAUUCAGAAAACUACAAGGCCAGUUAAUAAACAACAUACAUCAAAGUUGCCGGUGAACGCAGCAGGCCAAGCAGCAUCUACAGGAAGAGGCGCAGUCGAUGUUUCAGGCCGAGACUCUUCGUCAGGACUAACUGAAGGAAGAGAAAAAUACUGGAAGCACUUAGCACACAAGAGAAAAUCUGCAGAUGCUAGAAAUCCAAGCAACACACACAAGAUGCCGGAGGGAGGACGCAGCAGGCCAGGCAGCAUCUAUGGAAGAGUAUAGUCGACGUUUUGGGCCAAGGCCCUUCAUCAGGACUGGAGAA